GACGGGACCGCACAAGCAGCGGAGCAUGUGGUUAAUUCGAAGCAACGCGAAGAACCUUACCUGGUCUUGACAUCCCGGAGACCCUUAGGAAACUAGGGGGUGCUUCCAUCUGGAAGAAUCUGGAGACAGGUGCUGCAUGGCUGUCGUCAGCUCGUGUCGUGAGAUGUUGGGUUAAGUCCCGCAACGAGCGCAACCCUUGCCUUUAGUUGCCAGCAGUUCGGCUGGGCACUCUAAAGGGACUGCCGGUGUUAAACCGGAGGAAGGUGGGGAUGACGUCAAGUCCUCAUGGCCUUUAUGACCAGGGCUACACACGUACUACAAUGGCCGAUACAAAGGGCAGCGACACUGCGAGGUGAAGCCAAUCCCGUAAAAUCGGUCUCAGUCCGGAUUGGAGUCUGCAACUCGACUCCAUGAAGUUGGAAUCGCUAGUAAUCGUGGAUCAGCAUGCCACGGUGAAUACGUUCCCGGGCCUU
RNAcentral lists this ribosomal RNA (473 nucleotides) under uncultured Desulfobulbus sp. RNAcentral's name for it is "bacterial SSU rRNA". It matches the Rfam family "Bacterial small subunit ribosomal RNA", at positions 917 to 1381 of the family's 1533-position model. Lineage: Bacteria; Pseudomonadati; Thermodesulfobacteriota; Desulfobulbia; Desulfobulbales; Desulfobulbaceae. The record is from RNAcentral.